Long non-coding RNA from Anser brachyrhynchus (Pink-footed goose), 1919 nucleotides. NCBI's taxonomy places the organism in Eukaryota, Metazoa, Chordata, Aves, Anseriformes, Anatidae. The record is from Ensembl.
UGUUUUUAUCGUCACUUUAUUGUGCUGAGAAAAUCAGCUCCGGGGCAGACGCGUUCUGCAGCGGAGCGGGGGAUCAAGGCAGGCAGGGCUUUUUUUCCAGCAUCGAGGCCACUCUAGGGAGCCGAGGGAGCAGCUAGGGCCCAGCAGCCCUCGCAAGAGAGGCUGACACGGCGUAGCAGCCCCUAGGGCUGAAACGUGGUGGGACCACUCUCAUGACUGGAGUGCUGCAAUGACUGGCUGUAGGCUCUUCAGAAGGGACAGGCAGCACAGAAAGGGUGGUGGUGUGGCUCUGUAUUUUAAAUAUAGAGAGUGUUUUGAUGUUGUGGAACUCAAGACUGGAAAUGAUAAGUUUGAGUCCCUAUGGAUUAGAAUCAGUGGGAAGGCCAACAAGACAGGCAUCCUGGUGGGGGUCUGUUAUAGACCACCAAAUCAGGAUAGGAGACAGAUGAGAAGUUCUAAUGGCAGCUGGAAGAAGUUGUGAAAUCGCCAGCGCUUGUUCUCAUGGGGGACUUCAACUUCCCAGACAUAUCCUGGAAAUACAAUACAGCUCAGAGGAAGCAGUCUAGGAGGUUUCUGGAGAGCGUGGAAGAUAGCUUCCUGAUGCAGCUGGUUAGUGAGCCUACCAGGGGAGGUGCCCCGCUAGACCUUCUGUUCACAAACAGAGAAGGACUGGUGGGAGAUGUGGUGGUCGGGAGCUGUCUUGGGCAGAGUGACCACGAAAUGGUAGAGUUCUCUAUUCUUGGCAAAGUCAGGAGGGGGUUCAGUAAAACUGCUUUCUUGGACUUCUGGAGGGCAGACUUUGAGCUGUUGAGGACACUGGUUGGCAGAAUCCCCUGGGAGGCAGUUCUGAAGGGCAGAGGAGUCCAGGAAGGCUGGGCACUCUUCAAGAAGGAAAUCUUAAUGGCUCAGGAGCGGUCUGUCCCCAUGUGCCCAAAGACACGGCAUGGAAGAAGACCGGCCUGGCUGAACAGAGAGUUGUGGCUAGAGCUUAGGAAAAAAAAGAGGGUUUAUGACCUUAGGAAAAGAGGGCGGGCCACUCAGGAGGACUAUAAGGAUGUUGCGAGGCUGUGCAGGGACAAAAUUAGAAAAGCCAGAGCUCAUCUGGAGCUCAAUCUGGCUACUGCUGUUAAAGAUAACAAAAAAUGUUUUUACAAAUACAUCAACACAAAAAGGAGGACUAAGGGGAAUCUCUAUCCUUUACUGGAUGCGGGGGGAAACUUAGUGACGAGAGAUGAGGAAAAGGCUGAGGUGCUUAAUGCCUUCUUUGCCUCAGUCUUUAGAGGCAAGACCAGUUGUUCUCUAGAUACCCAGUACCCUGAGCUGGUGGAAGGGGAUGGGGAGCAGGAUGUGGCCCUCACUAUCCGUGAGGAAAUGUUUGGCGACAUGCUACAAUACUUAGAUGUACGCAAGUUGAUGGGGCCGGACGGGAUCCACCCGAGGGUACUGAGAGAACUGGCGGAGGAGCUGGCCAAGCCACUUUCCAUCAUUUAUCAGCAGUCCUGGCUGUCAGGGGAGGUCCCAGUCGAAUGGCAGCUAUCGAAUGUGAUGCACAUCUACAAGGGCUGGAGGGUAGACCCGGGAAACUAUAGGCCUGUUAGUUUGACCUCAGUACCAGGGAAGCUCAUGGAGCAGAUUAUCUUGAGUGUCAUCACGCGGCACUUGCAGGGCAACCAGGCGAUCAGGCCCAGUCAGCAUGGGUUUAUGAAAGGCAGGUCCUGCUUGGCGAACCUGAUCUCCUUCAAUGACAAAGUGACGUGCUUAGUGGAUGAGGGAAAGGCUGUGGAUGUGGUCUACCUUGACAUCAGUAAGGCUUUUGACACCAUUUCCCACAGCAUUCUCCUCAAGAAACUGGCUGCUCGUGGCUUGGACUGGCGUACGCUUCGUUACAUUAAAAACUGGCUGGGUAGCCAGGCCCAAAG